Molecule: small RNA, 67 nt
Filed under: Bacillus licheniformis
Lineage: Bacteria; Bacillati; Bacillota; Bacilli; Caryophanales; Bacillaceae
Also listed under: 1 other name
Description: Bacillaceae-1 RNA
Rfam family: Bacillaceae-1 RNA
Source: RNAcentral
CCUGCUUGAUACUCGGCUAAAACCUUUCACGUCCUGUGAAAAACGCCCAGUACCUUCCUCCUGAAGG